This 468-nucleotide ribosomal RNA is filed under the name uncultured bacterium. RNAcentral describes it as "partial 16S ribosomal RNA". It matches the Rfam family "Bacterial small subunit ribosomal RNA", at positions 28 to 507 of the family's 1533-position model. The record is from RNAcentral.
GACGAACGCUGGCGGCGUGCUUAACACAUGCAAGUCGAACGGAAAGGCCCUGCUUUUGUGGGGUGCUCGAGUGGCGAACGGGUGCGUAACACGUGUGUAACCUGCCCUUGACUUUGGGAUAACUUCAGGAAACUGGGGCUAAUACCGGAUCGGAUCCCCUGCUGCAUGGUGGGGGUUGGAAAUUUUCGGCGGUUGGGGUUGGACUCGCGGCUUAUCAGCUUGUUGGUGGGGGAGUGGCUUACCAAGGCUUUGACGGGUAGCCGGCCUGGGAGGGGGAACGGUCACAUUGGGACUGAGAUACGGACCAGACUCCUACGGGAGGCAGCAGGGGGGAAUAUGGCACAAUGGGCGGAAGCCUGAUGCAGCAACGCCGCGUGCGGGAUGACGGCCUUCGGGUUGUAAACCGCUUUCGCCUGUGACGAAGCGUGAGUGACGGUAAUGGGUAAAGAAGCACCGGCUAACUACGUG